GGUGGUUCUUGGAUGACACACCCUGAAAUCGGGCUCCCUCCUCUCUAGUUCUGGGUGCAUCACCCGAGAACUGCA
Molecule: non-coding RNA, 75 nt
Organism: Myotis lucifugus (little brown bat)
Lineage: Eukaryota; Metazoa; Chordata; Mammalia; Chiroptera; Vespertilionidae
Source: Rfam